CACCCCUUUAACGAACAAAUUCUAGUUGAUCCUUUUAUUAUUGUGGUGGUUGAUACUACUUCACUGUGUCAUGGUAAUUUGUCAUCCUUGGCAUGCAUGGCACUUCAUCCGCUUUAUAAUGCACCCCCUCUUCUGUGUCUGGGGAACAACCGGGGCUUGAUGGAAGUGGGGCUGCCUUACCACCUUGGCCAGGGAGGUGAUGAUGCGUGAAACGGUGUCCUUUAUUGCCGGAGAUAAUGCUCUGGCGCUGGGAGGGAGAGAGCCUGGAGUGGGAAAGCUCAUUCCCUUGAAGUGAAGGAAUUAAGCUGCAGCAUUUCUGCUCAGCCUAUACCACUGACCAGUGGCAGAGACAGAAUAACUGCACUUACUGGAUCUCUGAUUUGAGAUGGUCAUCGAUUUUUAUAAUUGGGCAAGAGACCUCAUAUUCCUCCUCAAACAGGUGAAGAGGCCCAAACAAAGGACUUGUGACAUCCCAGCCCAAUUUCUUUUUGACUUUCUGUAACUUGCAUAAAAGUAGAUGAUGAAAAGGUAUUCUGCACUUUUCCUCUCUGCUGGAUUUUCCAUUGGAAACACAUGUUGGAGGCAUGAGUGGGAUCAAUAACAUCACAGAGCUUUAAAGACUGAUUAAAUGAUCAAGGACAGAUACAUUUGAGGAUAAGCUGAAAAACUGUUCACAGAAGCAGUUGGUGCAGAGCAGAGGUGACUGGACUGGACAAUGAGGGUUUCAUGUGCAGAUACGUUUGAAUUUUUCUGCCUGGAAUUCUGUGCUUGUUACAUAACCUCUCUUGAUUAAUUGAGCCCCUGUGCCAGGUUGUCAGCUGCAGCUGAGGUAUGUCUGGCACAGCCAAGAACUGGCACACCAGCCUGCUGCUAGGUUUUGCCCUGUUCCACCCCAAGCCUCAGACAGAAUGAGCCUCAGGAACACCUGAUGGCUUGGAUGUUCCUGUGUUGGUUCUGUACCACCUGAAGACUCCCCUUCACACCAAACAAAACGUCCAGUCCUUUGACUUCACACUGGUCAGAGCAGCCCCACAGAAAUUCUGACUUCGACAGAACAUUCCUGGAGGCCCCAUGCUCUGGUCAUGAGCAGACAGCCUUUUGCACAAGGUAAAAAUAUCAGCCAUUCCACUGGUCAUGAGCCACUCUAAUAACUACUGAUGUCUGGGGGACCUAGAACACAUUAGGUGCAUUAGGACAACUGGAAUUUGUUAUAUUGAAUAUGUGAUUCUAGUCUUGCAUUUUUAGGUCCCAAAUGGAAGAAGUCUUAAGAGAUAUUCAAAGAGAAGUCAUGGUGAAACGAGUUUUCCCUUUAUUCCAUGCAGUAGUGAAGAGUGAACAGAAUUAGGGAAG
Molecule: long non-coding RNA, 1350 nt
Organism: Zonotrichia leucophrys gambelii
Lineage: Eukaryota; Metazoa; Chordata; Aves; Passeriformes; Passerellidae
Exons: 4
Source: RefSeq, a predicted model, not a curated record